Molecule: long non-coding RNA, 2620 nt
Filed under: Eutrema salsugineum
Lineage: Eukaryota; Viridiplantae; Streptophyta; Magnoliopsida; Brassicales; Brassicaceae
Description: long non-coding RNA (ESAL_LNC001535)
Source: RNAcentral
ACCGACGAUAGCAUCUGCUGUCGCUGAUUUAACCAUCACCGACCCAACAUCUCAACUUUUCACCGGAGCAUGUCAAAACCCAGAAAUCGUCGACUAUUUCUAGAUCCUCUCAUUUCCGAUGAUAGAUUGACGUUAAUUCAUCCUCACCGCUGACUGAUUCCGCUGCUACCUUAACCGAUGCAGCUCAGCUCUGCAAUCCCAGGUAAAUUCCGAAACUCCCAUAGCCAUCUCUUUACCAAAAUGUUAUUUCAGUUUCUGUUGCUGUGAUUUGCAAUUACUUCUGAAAUCUUACUGUCUUCCUUUUCAUCUGCAGCUGCUGAAGACACUUUUGAUUUCAAAAACUAAGCAUCGUGAAUUGCAGGUAAAACCCCAAAUUCCUUUGACGCUUCCAAACUUUCAAAUUUGACCACCUGAAAAUUUUGCCAUUUGAGAAGAUCAACCCGUAAUGAAACACUUCUUCUCUGUUACCCUGAAAUGAUGACUUUUACCAAUCUCAUCUCACAUUUUUCAAACUUUACAAUCUGAAAAAACUUUGUCGAUUUCUUAUGUUACCGAUACUGAAUUUUUUUUUUCAAUAUCUUCUGUCUUUGUGAGAUGCCCAAAUCGACAAGAGCAAUCUCAAGACGCUUUUGGAAACAACUACGGAAUUACAUUGAGAAGCACCAGGAACUUCUCAAACGUGUUUCCAGGUAAGCACUUUGUGAGCAUGUCUGCUGGAUUAGCUGUAGUGUGAACCUUUAGGAUCUUGACUGAACCUUCAUCGACUAUAUCUCUGAUAAAAUGAUAUUUGGUAUCAACAUGCUUUGUUCUGUCAUGGUGCACACUGUUCUUUGCUAAACAUAUAGCACUUUGUGAAUUACAAUUGAGUUUAAAACUGUCCUCUUUAAAACCCAAUUCACCACACAAUCCCUUAAGCCACAGACCUUCCUUAGUAGCCUCAGAUAGAGACAUAUAUUUUGCUUUCGUAGUAGAUAAAGCAACUACUUGUUGUAGACAUGAUCUCCAACUGACCGUAUUGCCACCAACUUUGAAAACAUAGCCUGAAACUGACCUUCUCCUGUCUAAGUCUGUAGCAUAAUCUGAAUCACAAAACCCUUCAAUCUCAAAUUUCUCUGAUUUUGUGAAAGUAAGACAUACUCCUGUAGCUCCUUUUAAAUACCUCAAAAUCCACUUAACCGCAGCCCAAUGAGAUCUUCCUGGAUUCGCCAUGAAUCUGCUAACCAAUCCAAUGGCAAAGGCUAGAUCAGGUCUUGAACCGAUCAUAGCAUACAUCAGACUCCCCACUGCACUUGCAUAGGGAACUGAAUCCAUCAAUCUACUCUCUGUUUUUACCUCCUGCUCUGUUAGACUCUUAAGCUUAAACUGCGAAUUACUUGGAGUUACAACAGCCUUGCAAUCCUCCAUGUUAAAAGUUCUUAAAACCUGCUUAAGAUAUCUUUCCUGUGAUAACUUGAGAGUACCUUUCUUUCUGUCCCUGAUGAUAUCCAUACCAAGAAUUCUAGUCGCUGGUCCUAGAUCCUUCAUCUCGAACUUUUUACUUAAGCUUGCCUUCAAGGCUUUGAUCUUUUCCAUAUUCUUUGCUGCCACAAGCAUGUCAUCGACAUAUAGUAAGAGAUAAACCAUAUCAUCAAUACAUGAUCCCUUAGUGUAAACACAUGGAUCCCUAGCGCUCCUUUGAAACUCCAUUGACUUCAUGAAUUCAUCAAACUUCUGAUUCCAUUGUCUAGGUGACUGUUUCAAACCAUAUAGAGAUUUCUUAAGAAGACAGACCUUGUCUUCGUUUCCCUUCUCUAUAAAACCCUCUGGCUGACUCAUGUAAAUGACUUCAUCAAGUGUACCAUGUAAGAAAGCAGUUUUCACGUCUAGUUGCUCCAAUUCCAGAUCAAAAUUAACCACAACUGACAACAUGAUUCUAAUAGAAACAUGCUUAACCACCGGAGCAAAUAUUUCGUUGUAAUCCACUCCUUCAACCUGUGUAAAUCCCUUAGCUACAAGUCUUGCUUUGUAUCUAGGUUCUUCAACACCUGGAAUGCCCUCCUUGUACUUGAAGAUCCACUUACACCCAACUAUUUUCUGCUUUCUCGGCUUAGAGACAAUCUCAAAAGUUUCAUUUUUAUCCAGAGAUUGUUUUUCCUCUUCCAUAGCCUGCUUCCACUUCUUCCAGUCUUUACUUCGUCUAGCUUCUGCGACUGACCUUGGUUCAUUUAACUCUAUGCUUUCAGCGCUAGUUAAAGCAUAAGCUAAAUAAUCAGCAUCCUCAAACCUCGAUGGUGGUUUGAUAGUUCUUCGCUCUAUGUCUCUUGCCAGCAAAUAAUCAUCAAGAGACUCUUCUUCAUCCUGAUUUUCUUGUUCUUCCUCAGAUUCCUGCUCCUCUUCUGAUUCUGAAUGUUCCGAAGUAGCUCCACCUUGACCAGCAGAAUCUGUAUUUCCUGAAACCUCUCCACCUUGACCAGUGGACUCUUGAACCGAACCAUUUGGAGUAGGUCCUUGGAUCAAUCCAGCUUUGAAAGUAACUUUCUUCUUCUUUGUAGAUUUUGUUACUUCAUUCUGAUCUCGGUCCUUAUACAACUUUUCCUCAUCAAAGACUACAUUCCUGCUGUUAGUACAUUUUCCAUCCUCC